GCCUACGGGGGGCAGCAGUGGGGAAUAUUGCGCAGUGGGCGAAAGCCUGACGCAGCGACGCCGCGUGAGGGAUGAAGGUCUUCGGAUCGUAAACCUCUGUCAGCAGGGAAGAACGGUCACUGUGCUAAUCAGCAGUGAAUUGACGGUGCCUGCAAAGGAAGCACCGGCUAACUCCGUGCCAGCAGCCGCGGUAAUACGGAGGGUGCGAGCGUUAAUCGGAAUUACUGGGCGUAAAGCGCUCGUAGGCGGUAUGUCAAGUCAAGGGUGAAAUCCCCGCGCUCAACGUGGGAACUGCCUUUGAAACU
This 305-nucleotide ribosomal RNA is filed under the name uncultured bacterium. RNAcentral describes it as "bacterial SSU rRNA". It matches the Rfam family "Bacterial small subunit ribosomal RNA", at positions 337 to 634 of the family's 1533-position model. The record is from RNAcentral.